This 260-nucleotide unclassified non-coding RNA is filed under the name air metagenome. Its description in RNAcentral is "partial contains small subunit ribosomal RNA, internal transcribed spacer 1, and 5.8S ribosomal RNA". The stretch from base 1 to 46 matches the Rfam family "Eukaryotic small subunit ribosomal RNA", at positions 1786 to 1831 of the family's 1831-position model. The record is from RNAcentral.
AAGUCGUAACAAGGUUUCCGUAGGUGAACCUGCGGAAGGAUCAUUAGAGGAGAAACACGCCGGAACCCGAGUAGCUGGGGUAACUCCUAGCUACAGAGCAGUACGGCCAACUCCACCCGUGUUUAUAUACCAUUGUUUCUUUGGCAUAGCCACCGGCUUCGGCUGGGUCGCGCCGGCCAAAGGCCCUUAACUCUGAAAUUACGUGAUGUCUGAGUACUAUAUAAUAGUUAAAACUUUCAACAACGGAUCUCUUGGUUCUG